UAGGGAAUCUUCGGCAAUGGACGAAAGUCUGACCGAGCAACGCCGCGUGAGUGAAGAAGGUUUUCGGAUCGUAAAACUCUGUUGUAGAGAAGAACAAGGACGUUAGUAACUGAACGUCCCCUGACGGUAUCUAACCAGAAAGCCACGGCUAACUACGUGCCAGCAGCCGCGGUAAUACGUAGGUGGCAAGCGUUGUCCGGAUUUAUUGGGCGUAAAGCGAGCGCAGGCGGUUUCUUAAGUCUGAUGUGAAAGCCCCCGGCUCAACCGGGGAGGGUCAUUGGAAACUGGGGGACUUGAGUGCAGAAGAGGAGAGUGGAAUUCCAUGUGUAGCGGUGAAAUGCGUAGAUAUAUGGAGGAACACCAGUGGCGAAGGCGGCUCUCUGGUCUGUAACUGACGCUGAGGCUCGAAAGCGUGGGGAGCAAACAGG
This 428-nucleotide ribosomal RNA is filed under the name Gemmatimonadota bacterium. Its description in RNAcentral is "Gemmatimonadetes bacterium partial 16S ribosomal RNA". It matches the Rfam family "Bacterial small subunit ribosomal RNA", at positions 355 to 776 of the family's 1533-position model. Lineage: Bacteria; Pseudomonadati; Gemmatimonadota. The record is from RNAcentral.